This 69-nucleotide transfer RNA is filed under the name Lophops carinata. RNAcentral describes it as "tRNA-Gln". Lineage: Eukaryota; Metazoa; Arthropoda; Insecta; Hemiptera; Lophopidae. The record is from RNAcentral.
UACAAUUUAAUGUAAGAUGCAUAAAGAUUUUUGAAAUCUUUAGGCCUGAUUUAAUUUCAGGGAUUGUAA